This 462-nucleotide ribosomal RNA is filed under the name uncultured bacterium. RNAcentral's name for it is "partial 16S ribosomal RNA". It matches the Rfam family "Bacterial small subunit ribosomal RNA", at positions 28 to 507 of the family's 1533-position model. The record is from RNAcentral.
GACGAACGCUGGCGGCGUGCUUAACACAUGCAAGUCGAGCGGAAAGGCCCUUCGGGGUCCUCGAGCGGCGAACGGGUGAGUAACAAGUGAGUAAGCUGCUCUCGACUUUGGGAUAAUAACCGGAAACGGGGGCUAAUAAUAGAUACUACUUCUAAAUCGAGUGAGUUGGUGGGGUAAGGUUUUCGGUCUGGGAUGGACUCGUGGCCUAUCAGCUGGUUGGUGGGGUAAUGGGGUACACAGGCGCGGACGGGUAGCCGGCCUGAGAGGGCGACCGGACACACUGGGACUGAGACACGGCCCAGACUCCUACGUUAGGCAGCAGUGGGGAAUAUUGCACAAUGGGCGGAAGCCUGAGGCAGCGAUGCCGGGUGUGUGAUGACGUCCUUCGUGGUGUAAACCGCUUUCAGCAGGGACGAAGCUGAAGUGACGUUACCUGCAGAAGAAGCGCCGGCCAACUACGUG